RNAcentral lists this ribosomal RNA (253 nucleotides) under uncultured bacterium. Its description in RNAcentral is "partial 16S ribosomal RNA". It matches the Rfam family "Bacterial small subunit ribosomal RNA", at positions 524 to 776 of the family's 1533-position model. The record is from RNAcentral.
GACGAACCGUGCGAACGUUGUUCGGAAUCACUGGGCUUAAAGGGAGCGUAGGCGGGCCAUCAAGUCAGGGGUGAAAUCCCGCGGCUCAACCGCGGAAGUGCCUCUGAUACUGGCGGCCUCGAGGGGUGCAGGGGCGUGCGGAACUCAGGGUGGAGCGGUGAAAUGCGUAGAUAUCCUGAGGAACACCGGUGGCGAAAGCGGCGCGCUAGACACCUACUGACGCUGAGGCUCGAAAGCCAGGGGAGCAAACGGG